CCAUGCCGCGUGGAUGAUGAAGGCCUUAGGGUUGUAAAAUCCUUUCGACGGGGAAGAUAAUGACGGUACCCGUAGAAGAAAGCCCCGGCUAACUUCGUGC
This 100-nucleotide ribosomal RNA is filed under the name uncultured bacterium. RNAcentral describes it as "partial 16S ribosomal RNA". It matches the Rfam family "Bacterial small subunit ribosomal RNA", at positions 392 to 508 of the family's 1533-position model. The record is from RNAcentral.